The sequence is a transfer RNA, 72 nucleotides long. It matches the Rfam family "tRNA". Rfam says of the family: Transfer RNA (tRNA) molecules are approximately 80 nucleotides in length. Their secondary structure includes four short double-helical elements and three loops (D, anti-codon, and T loops). The record is from Rfam.
UGGGCUAUAGCCAAGUGGUAAGGCAACGGACUUUGACUCCGUCAUUCGUUGGUUCGAAUCCAGCUAGCCCAG